Molecule: ribosomal RNA, 416 nt
Filed under: uncultured prokaryote
Description: bacterial SSU rRNA
Rfam family: Bacterial small subunit ribosomal RNA
Source: RNAcentral
GUGUCAGCAGCCGCGGUAAUACGUAGGGUGCAAGCGUUGUCCGGAAUUAUUGGGCGUAAAGAGCUCGUAGGCGGUCUGUCGCGUCGGCUGUGAAAUCUCGGGGCUCAACCCCGAGCCUGCAGUCGAUACGGGCAGACUAGAGUGCUGUAGGGGAGACUGGAAUUCCUGGUGUAGCGGUGAAAUGCGCAGAUAUCAGGAGGAACACCGGUGGCGAAGGCGGGUUUCUGGGCAGUAACUGACGCUGAGGAGCGAAAGCGUGGGGAGCGAACAGGAUUAGAUACCCUGGUAGUCCACGCCGUAAACGGUGGGUGCUAGGUGUGAGCGGUAUUCCACGCCGUUCGUGCCGCAGCUAACGCAUUAAGCACCCCGCCUGGGGAGUACGGCCGCAAGGCUAAAACUUAAAGGAAUUGACGGGG